RNAcentral lists this ribosomal RNA (497 nucleotides) under uncultured bacterium. Its description in RNAcentral is "partial 16S ribosomal RNA". It matches the Rfam family "Bacterial small subunit ribosomal RNA", at positions 28 to 507 of the family's 1533-position model. The record is from RNAcentral.
GAUGAACGCUGGCGGCGUGCCUAAUACAUGCAAGUCGAGCGAACAGACGAGGAGCUUGCUCCUCUGACGUUAGCGGCGGACGGGUGAGUAACACGUGGAUAACCUACCUAUAAGACUGGGAUAACUUCGGGAAACCGGAGCUAAUACCGGAUAAUAUAUUGAACCGCAUGGUUCAAUAGUGAAAGACGGUUUUGCUGUCACUUAUAGAUGGAUCCGCGCCGCAUUAGCUGGUUGGUAAGGUAACGGCUUACCAAGGCGACGAUGCGUAGCCGACCUGAGAGGGUGAUCGGCCACACUGGAACUGAGACACGGUCCAGACUCCUACGGGAGGCAGCAGUAGGGAAUCUUCCGCAAUGGGCGAAAGCCUGACGGAGCAACGCCGCGUGAGUGAUGAAGGUCUUCGAAUCGUAAAACUCUGUUAUUAGGGAAGAACAAAUGUGUAAGUAACUAUGCACGUCUUGACGGUACCUAAUCAGAAAGCCACGGCUAACUACGUG